GCUCCUCUGUGGUUUGAUUCAACACUGACAAGGAAUAUGGACAUCCCUGAGAAGGCCUAAUGGCUCUUACCUGGACAAGACCCACAUCGGAAAGCACAGGUGCCUGCAGGAGGUGUUCUCUAGCUCAAUUCACCUCAGUGCCUGGGAGCGCAAAGGAGAGGGAUGUCUGCAAUCUGCUUUCCCCUCAAGAAUCAAAGACUAGUGCCACAGCAGGGGUCACAGGAGACUCAGCCAGAAGAAAGCCCUGAGCUUGCUCCUCUGUUUGCUUUCAGAAGUCAUUGUUGAUCUGAUACGUUUUCUGAUGCUGGCCUAUCUCCUGCUCAGGAGCUGGCAUAGGAUAGACUCACAACACCCACUUAAGGGACUUGGUUCUUCCCCAAAAGCACUUAUAAGCCAAGACCCACUGACAAGGGAGAGUUCCCAUAAGGACGCUGCCUCAUCUCGGAGAUGGACCUGCCCGUGACUUGGACGUGAUCUUCCUACCUGCUCUGCCUUGUUCGAAUACUUUUGUUCUGUGGUUUGCCUGUCCAUGUUGAUGGCCUAUUCAGGUACACAGGUGGUUCUUGUUAUUUAUGGUAUUUAUGGCUUAUAAAGUUGCUGUGAAUUAGUAAAUACGGAACUGUUGUUCCUAAGAGAAAUAUAAGGUUAGGUUCCUGUGAGCCUCUGGUCAUGAGAAUAUUGUCAACCAGUUAAUACAGAACUUUGUUUCAUGUGUGUGUUUCUGUUUAAAGACACCUGUGUAAUAUAUCCUGUUGAUCAAGUAACACUCUACUCACUUUACCUCGUGCCUGAAGGUAGCUUUUACCUGCCACGUGUAUUUUCUCUCUGAGGCACCUCACCACCUUCUUGCCCUUAGGAAUGCUUGAUGGUGCUUCAGCACUAGGAUGUUUUCAAUAAUGAAAUCACCAGCAAAAAGCAAAAAAAUGUUUAAAAAAAGGCAUUAAAUACGCUACAGGGAGAACAGCAACAAGAGGGCAGAGGGGAGGCUGGUAUGACCUCAGCUAGGAUCGUGCAUGUCAGGUGACUCAAAUUUUUUGCUGCUUUGUUCAUGCCUGGAAUAAUUGUAAGAGUGCUGCGAUGAUUUGGCGGUUACAAAUAAAUUUUAGCAAGUAGGUGAACUCACAAAUAGGAAUCUGCAAAUGAGUCUUGUAGUGUAUCUCCAGCCUGGCGAUGUGAAGACCUUUGAAGAGUAG
Lutra lutra (Eurasian river otter) is the source of this 1193-nucleotide long non-coding RNA. RefSeq lists it as uncharacterized. The record is from RefSeq and is a predicted model, not a curated record. The transcript has 3 exons. Lineage: Eukaryota; Metazoa; Chordata; Mammalia; Carnivora; Mustelidae.